UUCUGCCCUUUGUACACACCGCCCGUCACUACUACCGAUUGAAUGGCUUAGUGAGGCCUCGGGACUGGCUUAGCGCGAGAGGCGACUCUUGCACGGAGCUGGGAACCUGGUCAAACUUGGUCAUUUAGAGGAAGUACAAGUCGUAACAAGGUUUCCGUAGGUGAACCUGCGGAAGAAGCAUUA
This 183-nucleotide ribosomal RNA is filed under the name Starmera stellimalicola. RNAcentral's name for it is "[Candida] stellimalicola partial 18S ribosomal RNA". It matches the Rfam family "Eukaryotic small subunit ribosomal RNA", at positions 1651 to 1831 of the family's 1831-position model. The record is from RNAcentral. Lineage: Eukaryota; Fungi; Ascomycota; Saccharomycetes; Phaffomycetales; Phaffomycetaceae.